This 495-nucleotide ribosomal RNA is filed under the name uncultured bacterium. Its description in RNAcentral is "partial 16S ribosomal RNA". It matches the Rfam family "Bacterial small subunit ribosomal RNA", at positions 28 to 505 of the family's 1533-position model. The record is from RNAcentral.
GAUGAACGCUGGCGGCGUGCCUAAUACAUGCAAGUCGAGCGAACAGACGAGGAGCUUGCUCCUCUGACGUUAGCGGCGGACGGGUGAGUAACACGUGGAUAACCUACCUAUAAGACUUGGAUAACUUCGGGAAACCGGAGCUAAUACCGGAUAAUAUAUUUAACUGAAUGGUUCAAUAGUGAAAGACGGUUUUGCUGUCACUUAUAGAUUGAUCCGCGCCGCAUUAGCUAGUUGGUAAGGUAACGGCUUACCAAGGCAACGAUGCGUAGCCGACCUGAGAGGGUGAUCGGCCACACUGGAACUGAGACACGGUCCAGACUCCUACGGGAGGCAGCAGUAGGGAAUCUUCCGCAAUGGGCGAAAGCCUGACGGAGCAACGCCGCGUGAGUGAUGAAGGUCUUCGGAUCGUAAAACUCUGUUAUUAGGGAAGAACAAAUGUGUAAGUAACUAUGCACGUCUUGACGGUACCUAAUCAGAAAGCCACGGCUAACUACG